GAUGAAGAACGCAGCGAAAUGCGAUAAGUAAUGUGAAUUGCAGAAUUCAGUGAAUCAUCGAAUCUUUGAACGCACAUUGCGCCCGCCAGUAUUCUGGCGGGCAUGCCUGUUCGCGUCAUUACAACCCUCAGGCCCCCGGGCCUGGCGUUGGGGAUCGGCGGAAGCCCCCUGCGGGCACAACGCCGUCCCCCAAAUACAGUGGCGGUCCCGCCGCAGCUUCCAUUGCGUAGUAGCUAACACCUCGCAACUGGAGAGCGGCGCGGCCACGCCGUAAAACACCCAACUUCUGAAUGUUGACCUCGAAUCAGGUAGGAAUACCCGCUGAACUUAAGCAUAUCAAUAAGCGGAGGA
RNAcentral lists this unclassified non-coding RNA (351 nucleotides) under soil metagenome. RNAcentral describes it as "partial contains 5.8S ribosomal RNA, internal transcribed spacer 2, and large subunit ribosomal RNA". The stretch from base 1 to 118 matches the Rfam family "5.8S ribosomal RNA", at positions 35 to 154 of the family's 154-position model. The record is from RNAcentral.